GACAGAGGGGGCAAGCGUUGUCCGGAGUUAUUGGGCGUAAAGGGUACGUAGGCGGCUGGUCAAGUCUGGGGUCAAAGGCCACAGCUCAACUGUGGGAAGGCCCUGGAAACUGACCGGCUAGAGUGAGGUAGGGGUUGCGGGAAUUCCCGGUGUAGCGGUGAAAUGCGUAGAGAUCGGGAAGAACACCUGAGGCGGAAGCGCGCAACUGGGCCUCAACUGACGCUGAGGUACGAAAGCUAGGGGAGCGAAUGGG
Molecule: ribosomal RNA, 253 nt
Filed under: uncultured bacterium
Lineage: Bacteria
Description: partial 16S ribosomal RNA
Rfam family: Bacterial small subunit ribosomal RNA
Source: RNAcentral